Molecule: non-coding RNA, 251 nt
Filed under: Sodaliphilus pleomorphus
Lineage: Bacteria; Pseudomonadati; Bacteroidota; Bacteroidia; Bacteroidales; Muribaculaceae
Source: RNAcentral
GGUGGCUGCGAUGAAAAGGGAAUCAGGUGAAAAUCCUGAACAGACGGUGCUGCUGUAAGCUUCAGCUCUCGUGUAGCAUCCCUUGGACCGGGCCACUGCCAAGCGAGGCGGGAAGGCUGGUCUACAUGAUGGCGCUUGCUUUACCCUUGAUUCAGAGGGCGGCCUCAGGGCCGGGAAGUUGCUAAGCGUCGUGCCAAUGCCAAUGCAUGGAGGGGUGAUUGAAGCAAGUCAGAAGACCUGCCAAGUCAGGA